Molecule: ribosomal RNA, 374 nt
Filed under: uncultured bacterium
Lineage: Bacteria
Description: bacterial SSU rRNA
Rfam family: Bacterial small subunit ribosomal RNA
Source: RNAcentral
ACGUAGGGCGCAAGCGUUGUCCGGAAUUAUUGGGCGUAAAGAGCUCGUAGGCGGUUCGUCGCGUCUGCCGUGAAAGCCCGAGGCUCAACCUCGGGUCUGCGGUGGGUACGGGCGGACUAGAGUGUGGUAGGGGAGACUGGAAUUCCUGGUGUAGCGGUGGAAUGCGCAGAUAUCAGGAGGAACACCAAUGGCGAAGGCAGGUCUCUGGGCCACAACUGACGCUGAGGAGCGAAAGCGUGGGUAGCGAACAGGAUUAGAUACCCUGGUAGUCCACGCCGUAAACGGUGGGCACUAGAUGUGGGGCUCAUUCCACGAGUUCCGCGUCGCAGCUAACGCAUUAAGUGCCCCGCCUGGGGAGUACGGCCGCAAGGCUA